This 2904-nucleotide ribosomal RNA is filed under the name Yersinia frederiksenii. RNAcentral's name for it is "bacterial LSU rRNA". It matches the Rfam family "Bacterial large subunit ribosomal RNA". Lineage: Bacteria; Pseudomonadati; Pseudomonadota; Gammaproteobacteria; Enterobacterales; Yersiniaceae. The record is from RNAcentral.
UUAAGCGACUAAGCGUACACGGUGGAUGCCUAGGCAGUCAGAGGCGAUGAAGGGCGUGCUAAUCUGCGAAAAGCGUCGGUAAGCUGAUAUGAAGCGUUACAACCGACGAUACCCGAAUGGGGAAACCCAGUGCAAUUCGUUGCACUAUUGCAUGGUGAAUACAUAGCCAUGCAAGGCGAACCGGGGGAACUGAAACAUCUAAGUACCCCGAGGAAAAGAAAUCAACCGAGAUUCCCCAGUAGCGGCGAGCGAACGGGGAGGAGCCCAGAGUCUGAAUCAGUUUGUGUGUUAGUGGAAGCGUCUGGAAAGUCGCACGGUACAGGGUGAUAGUCCCGUACACAAAAAUACACUUGCUGUGAACUCGAUGAGUAGGGCGGGACACGUGACAUCCUGUCUGAAUAUGGGGGGACCAUCCUCCAAGGCUAAAUACUCCUGACUGACCGAUAGUGAACCAGUACCGUGAGGGAAAGGCGAAAAGAACCCCGGCGAGGGGAGUGAAAUAGAACCUGAAACCGUGUACGUACAAGCAGUGGGAGCACCUUCGUGGUGUGACUGCGUACCUUUUGUAUAAUGGGUCAGCGACUUAUAUUUUGUAGCAAGGUUAACCGAAUAGGGGAGCCGUAGGGAAACCGAGUCUUAACUGGGCGUCUAGUUGCAAGGUAUAGACCCGAAACCCGGUGAUCUAGCCAUGGGCAGGUUGAAGGUUGGGUAACACUAACUGGAGGACCGAACCGACUAAUGUUGAAAAAUUAGCGGAUGACUUGUGGCUGGGGGUGAAAGGCCAAUCAAACCGGGAGAUAGCUGGUUCUCCCCGAAAGCUAUUUAGGUAGCGCCUCGUGAACUCAUCUUCGGGGGUAGAGCACUGUUUCGGCUAGGGGGUCAUCCCGACUUACCAAACCGAUGCAAACUCCGAAUACCGAAGAAUGUUAUCACGGGAGACACACGGCGGGUGCUAACGUCCGUCGUGAAGAGGGAAACAACCCAGACCGCCAGCUAAGGUCCCAAAGUCAUGGUUAAGUGGGAAACGAUGUGGGAAGGCAUAGACAGCCAGGAUGUUGGCUUAGAAGCAGCCAUCAUUUAAAGAAAGCGUAAUAGCUCACUGGUCGAGUCGGCCUGCGCGGAAGAUGUAACGGGGCUAAACCAUGCACCGAAGCUGCGGCAGCGACACUUAGGUGUUGUUGGGUAGGGGAGCGUUCUGUAAGCCGUUGAAGGUGGACUGUGAGGUCUGCUGGAGGUAUCAGAAGUGCGAAUGCUGACAUAAGUAACGAUAAUGCGGGUGAAAAGCCCGCACGCCGGAAGACCAAGGGUUCCUGUCCAACGUUAAUCGGGGCAGGGUGAGUCGACCCCUAAGGCGAGGCUGAAAAGCGUAGUCGAUGGGAAACAGGUUAAUAUUCCUGUACUCGGUGUUACUGCGAAGGGGGGACGGAGAAGGCUAGGCUAGCCGGGCGACGGUUGUCCCGGUUUAAGCAUGUAGGCGGAGUGACUUGGUAAAUCCGGUUGCUUAUCAACGCUGAGGUGUGAUGACGAUGCACUACGGUGCAGAAGUAGUUGAUGCCAAGCUUCCAGGAAAAGCCUCUAAGCAUCAGGUAACAGUGAAUCGUACCCCAAACCGACACAGGUGGUCAGGUAGAGAAUACUCAGGCGCUUGAGAGAACUCGGGUGAAGGAACUAGGCAAAAUGGUGCCGUAACUUCGGGAGAAGGCACGCUGGCAUUAGGUAAAGAGACUUGCUCUCGUAGCCGAAGCCAGUCGCAGAUACCAGCUGGCUGCAACUGUUUAAUAAAAACACAGCACUGUGCAAACACGAAAGUGGACGUAUACGGUGUGACGCCUGCCCGGUGCUGGAAGGUUAAUUGAUGGGGUCAGCCGCAAGGCGAAGCUCUUGAUCGAAGCCCCAGUAAACGGCGGCCGUAACUAUAACGGUCCUAAGGUAGCGAAAUUCCUUGUCGGGUAAGUUCCGACCUGCACGAAUGGCGUAAUGAUGGCCAGGCUGUCUCCACCCGAGACUCAGUGAAAUUGAACUCGCUGUGAAGAUGCAGUGUACCCGCGGCAAGACGGAAAGACCCCGUGAACCUUUACUAUAGCUUGACACUGAACAUUGAGCCUUGAUGUGUAGGAUAGGUGGGAGGCAUCGAAGCGUGGACGCCAGUCUGCGUGGAGCCAACCUUGAAAUACCACCCUUUAAUGUUUGAUGUUCUAACUCGGCCCCGUGAUCCGGGGUGAGGACAGUGUCUGGUGGGUAGUUUGACUGGGGCGGUCUCCUCCCAAAGAGUAACGGAGGAGCACGAAGGUUAGCUAAUCACGGUCGGACAUCGUGAGGUUAGUGCAAAGGCAUAAGCUAGCUUGACUGCGAGAGUGACGGCUCGAGCAGGUACGAAAGUAGGUCUUAGUGAUCCGGUGGUUCUGAAUGGAAGGGCCAUCGCUCAACGGAUAAAAGGUACUCCGGGGAUAACAGGCUGAUACCGCCCAAGAGUUCAUAUCGACGGCGGUGUUUGGCACCUCGAUGUCGGCUCAUCACAUCCUGGGGCUGAAGUAGGUCCCAAGGGUAUGGCUGUUCGCCAUUUAAAGUGGUACGCGAGCUGGGUUUAGAACGUCGUGAGACAGUUCGGUCCCUAUCUGCCGUGGGCGUUGGAAGAUUGAGAGGGGCUGCUCCUAGUACGAGAGGACCGGAGUGGACGAAUCACUGGUGUUCGGGUUGUCAUGCCAAUGGCAUUGCCCGGUAGCUAAAUUCGGAAGAGAUAACCGCUGAAAGCAUCUAAGCGGGAAACUUGCCUCGAGAUGAGUCUUCCCUGGGGCUUUAAGCCCCCUGAAGGAACGUUAAAGACUAUGACGUUGAUAGGCUGGGUGUGUAAGUGCAGCGAUGCAUUGAGCUAACCAGUACUAAUGAUCCGUGAGGCUUAACCUU